This is a long non-coding RNA of Herpailurus yagouaroundi (jaguarundi), 2066 nucleotides long. RefSeq lists it as uncharacterized. The transcript is spliced from 4 exons. NCBI's taxonomy places the organism in Eukaryota, Metazoa, Chordata, Mammalia, Carnivora, Felidae. The record is from RefSeq and is a predicted model, not a curated record.
CUCUCCUCUGCUCGUGCUCUCUCUCUCUCUCUCAAAAAUAAAUAAGCAUUAAAAAAAACAAAACCUUUUAAUCCUUACAAUUUGAUGAGGUCAGUUAUAAUGUGAUCCCCAUUACAUGGGUGAGACAAUGGAGGCAUAAGAGCCACGCAGCUAGUAAGGAGAGCUGAGCAGUCUCACAUGAGACACAACAACCCUACGUAUGAUCUAACUGGUGAGAUUUAACUGGAAAGACGACUAAGCAAAACUUGGAUUUAACCAGUUUGCUGAGUGGUUUGAAACUCAGCACAGCAGACAGUGAUAGCAUUGUCAGCUGAUGCCUGCUCGGCGCAGCGACCUCUUCCCACACUCGGGAAGGGCCAGGUAGGACUCACAGGCCACAGAGCAGCGCGAACGUGUCCACUGAAAGCAGCCACACCGGGGACGCAGUCCGUCACCGCCGCCCUAUUGAGGACAGUCCUGUCUUGAAGCCAAAGCCUUGCUGGACUCGGGCAAGGGACACAUCUCUCUGAAGGCACGGAGGAAGGGGCACAGAGGAAUCUGAGGAGAUGACGUGAUGGAGAACGACGUUUGGGGAACACGAGUGCACAUACAAGUCAAGUGUGCAGGACAGUCUCGAUAUCCGGACGUUCUCGAGGGAACAGGAGUCUGUCAGUUUACAGAGAUGAUGUCAAUUUUCUCAAAUGCUUCCAAAUGUCCAGAAAGCUAUGAACAUGAGAAUGUAAAGUAGAUGGAGGUCCAAUUGCAGUAAAUCAUAGAAUAUCCACACUAUGGAAUAUUAUGCAGCUAUUAGAAGAAAUGAGUUAGCUCUUUAUCUGCUGACCUGGAGGGACGUCUGGGAUGUAUUGGUCAGGGAGAUAAGCAAGAGGCAGUGCAGGGUACAUGCGGGGGAGGGUUCUCGUAAAGGCAAACAGAAAACCUUCCCUACGUUUGCAGCAGAUGUCCCUUUAAGGACAGAAGAGCUCAGAGAAACUCCUGGUGGACUGUUAGCCAUGGUCAGUGGGCUACGGGGACAGCUUGAGGACUGCAGGAAGAAAGGGCGAUGGCAUGAACUUUUUUUUCUUGCUAUUCAUUAGCAUGGUGUCACAGAUUAUGCGAAUGUGCUGACUUACUUGUGGGAGGAUACUUUGCCCUCUGCAAAGCCACCUUUAUGGAAGAAUCUAUUACUGAAGAGCUGAACGUGCAGGCAUGGGGGAGUCUGGCAGGUGAGAAGGCAGGUGGCCGAGGGAGACUGGUGGGGAGAUGGGGAGACACCAUGAUGUGAUAGGGUGCAUGGAUGCCUUCCACCUCGCCUAAACACUACCGGGUCUGGCCAGAGAUGGAGCCUGACUGGUGUCAACAGAGGUCUUCAGAGAAAGGCCACGUGCAGAUCAUCGUCCCUCCCCAGGGGAACUUCCAGCGAGAUGAAUGAGAGGCCAGAUAAAUCAUGAAGAUCUACAGGUACACAUACAGGGAGAAACUCGUGAACACAGUCGGGAGGUCCGUGACGGAGAGGUAACGGCAGCCGAUAAUUAAAUAGCUGCGUUCCUGGAGACCAGGUGGGCUUGACAGAGACAAAGGAGACAGUGGGAAGGGCACGGGCCCCUUCUGACAGGAGAACAGCAGCACGGACACCAGCCCUGCCGAGAGAGGUCCACGGCAGCCGCAGCAGCAGCAUCCACACUCUGCUUUCUCCCCACCUCCACCGGGACCGCCGGCUUCUCUGCUGUUCCCACGACACGGAGGCCGUGGCCAGCUUUCCAGGGCUUAUGGGAGAUGAGCCACGUUAUUACGAUCUGAGUCUUGCUGUUGCUUCCGAGGCAAAAACGGAUGCGGGACAUAAACACCAGGGCGGGCACAGAGCCUGCCACAAGAGACAAGACACCCUGAUGUCGGGGCAGAGUUGGCCAACCCUGGUCCUGGGAGCACUUCGCUGUGUCCCAGUUCCAGGGCUGGGUCGUCUUGUUUUGUCCGAACAGGUGAGAGCUCAGAGGGCCCCCCACGCCUUAUUAGGCGAGGUGAGGCUCUGGGACAAGUGGCGGAGGCAGCUCAGCUUCCUGGGCACCUGGGAGUGCCAUCAGCAGCCGACA